UNUUAAAAGUUCGGGGCUUAACCCCGUGAGGGGAUGGAAACUGCUGAUCUAGGGUAUCGGAGAGGAAAGUGGAAUUCCUAGUGUAGCGGUGAAAUGCGUAGAUAUUAGGAAGAACACCAGUGGCGAAGGCGACUUUCUGGACGAAAACUGACGCUGAGGCGCGAAANCCAGGGGAGCGAACGGGAUUAGAUACCCCGGUAGUCCUGGCCGUAAACGAUGGGUACUAGGUGUAGGAGGUAUCGACCCCUUCUGUGCCGGAGUUAACGCAAUAAGUACCCCGCCUGGGGAGUACGACCGCAAGGUUGAAACUCAAAGGAAUUGACGGGGGCCCGCACAAGCGGUGGAGUAUGUGGUUUAAUUCGACGCAACGCGAAGAACCUUACCAGGUCUUGACAUUGAUGGACAGAACCAGAGAUGGUUCCUCUUCUUCGGAAGCCAGAAAACAGGUGGUGCACGGUUGUCGUCAGCUCGUGUCGUGAGAUGUUGGGUUAAGUCCNNNNNNNNGCGCAACCCCUAUCUUAUGUUGCCAGCACGUGAUGGUGGGAACUCAUGAGAGACUGCCGCAGACAAUGCGGAGGAAGGCGGGGAUGACGUCAAAUCAUCAUGCCCCUUAUGACGUGGGCUACACACGUACUACAAUGGGAGUUAAUAGACGGAAGCGAGAUCGCGAGAUGGAGCAAACCCGAGAAACACUCUCUCAGUUCGGAUCGUAGGCUGCAACUCGCCUACGUGAAGUCGGAAUCGCUAGUAAUCGCAGGUCAGCAUACUGCGGUGAAUACGUUCCCGGGCCUUG
This 793-nucleotide ribosomal RNA is filed under the name uncultured bacterium. RNAcentral's name for it is "bacterial SSU rRNA". It matches the Rfam family "Bacterial small subunit ribosomal RNA", at positions 592 to 1383 of the family's 1533-position model. The record is from RNAcentral.